This 397-nucleotide ribosomal RNA is filed under the name uncultured bacterium. Its description in RNAcentral is "bacterial SSU rRNA". It matches the Rfam family "Bacterial small subunit ribosomal RNA", at positions 39 to 424 of the family's 1533-position model. The record is from RNAcentral.
GCGGCGUGCCUAACACAUGCAAGUCGAACGCGGUUGCCUCGCAAGGGGCAACUGAGUGGCGAACGGGUGAGUAACGCGUGGGUGACCUACCUUCGAGCGGGGGAUAACGUCCCGAAAGGGACGCUAAUACCGCAUGACAUCCUGCCCUUGAACGGGUGGAGAUCAAAGCUGGGGAUCGCAAGACCCGGCACUUGAAGAGGGGCCCGCGUCUGAUUAGCUAGUUGGUGAGGUAACGGCUCACCAAGGCGACGAUCAGUAUCCGGCCUGAGAGGGCGGACGGACACACUGGGACUGAGACACGGCCCAGACUCCUACGGGAGGCAGCAGUGGGGAAUUGUUCACAAUGGGCGCAAGCCUGAUGACGCAACGCCGCGUGGAGGAUGAAGGUCUUCGGAUU